This 206-nucleotide ribosomal RNA is filed under the name uncultured bacterium. RNAcentral describes it as "partial 16S ribosomal RNA". It matches the Rfam family "Bacterial small subunit ribosomal RNA", at positions 568 to 774 of the family's 1533-position model. The record is from RNAcentral.
UGCGUAGGUGGUGAUGCAAGUCUGGUGUGAAAUCUCGGAGCUCAACUCCGAAAUUGCACCGGAUACUGCGUGACUCGAGGACUGUAGAGGAGAUCGGAAUUCACGGUGUAGCAGUGAGAUGCGUAGAUAUCGUGAGGAAGACCAGUUGCGAAGGCGGAUCUCUGGGCAGUUCUGACACUGAGGCACGAAGGCCAGGGGAGCAAACG